RNAcentral lists this ribosomal RNA (327 nucleotides) under uncultured eukaryote. Its description in RNAcentral is "partial 18S ribosomal RNA". It matches the Rfam family "Eukaryotic small subunit ribosomal RNA", at positions 1470 to 1796 of the family's 1831-position model. The record is from RNAcentral.
CCCUUAGAUGUUCUGGGCCGCACACGCGCUACACUGAAGGAGGCAGCGUGUACUCCUGGAUCGAAAGAUUUGGGUAACCCGCGAAUCUCCUUCGUGCUAGGGAUUGAGGUUUGCAAUUAUCCUUCAUGAACGAGGAAUUCCCAGUAAGUGCAAGUCAUAAGCUUGCGCUGACUACGUCCCUGCCCUUUGUACACGCCGCCCGUCGCUACUACCGAUUGAAUGAUUUAGUGAGGACUUCGGACUGGGACCGAUGCGGCUUUCGGGCUGCGUCGGUAUUCUGGAAAGAUGUCCAAACUGUAUCAUUUAGAGGAAGUAAAAGUCGUANCA